AGCAGUGUGGCUCAGUGGAAAGAGCCCGGGCUUGGGAGUCAGAGGUCAGGGGUUCGAAUCCCAGCUCUGCCA
RNAcentral lists this transfer RNA (72 nucleotides) under Ornithorhynchus anatinus (platypus). It matches the Rfam family "tRNA". Rfam says of the family: Transfer RNA (tRNA) molecules are approximately 80 nucleotides in length. Their secondary structure includes four short double-helical elements and three loops (D, anti-codon, and T loops). Further hydrogen bonds mediate the characteristic L-shaped molecular structure. tRNAs have two regions of fundamental functional importance: the anti-codon, which is responsible for specific mRNA codon recognition, and the 3' end, to which the tRNAs corresponding amino acid is attached (by aminoacyl-tRNA synthetases). tRNAs cope with the degeneracy of the genetic code in two manners: having more than one tRNA (with a specific anti-codon) for a particular amino acid; and 'wobble' base-pairing, i.e. permitting non-standard base-pairing at the 3rd anti-codon position. The record is from Rfam by way of RNAcentral. Lineage: Eukaryota; Metazoa; Chordata; Mammalia; Monotremata; Ornithorhynchidae.